Molecule: long non-coding RNA, 1611 nt
Organism: Tarenaya hassleriana
Lineage: Eukaryota; Viridiplantae; Streptophyta; Magnoliopsida; Brassicales; Cleomaceae
Exons: 4
Source: RefSeq, a predicted model, not a curated record
CCACCAUAAACUGCGUGUCCUCAUCUCCAGAAGCCAUCUCAGUCUCUCCGGUCACUCGCUCUAAUCCCCGGAAACUCUUUGUCAAGAGAGAGAUCCGUGGGAUUCUCUUGUUGGUGGAAGGAUUUCUUAGAUUCCCUUGUUGGGUAUUCGUCUUCAUAUUCUUUUUUCACGAUCGCUUUCGGGUUUGAAGAUUCGGGCGGCUCCUUCAAAUGGAUUCUUCUCUCGAGGACAUUGAAUGCUGAAAGCACCUUCAUCAACCCAAGUCAUGGAGCAGUUGCGGGGUGAAUUUCAAGAAUUUAAGAAUAAGAUGUGGCAGUUCGUGCAAGGUCAGAUAUCAUCGCCACCAUUAGUCGGUCACCAGGGAUACUCCACCUAGAAUCCAAGUGCCGACAAUAGCUGAUGACUAUCUGACGAUCAUUAAAGAACUUCCAGCCAUGGAUACUCCACGGUUCGAAGGGUCCCUAAUCCCGGAGAUUGCUGAGGAAUGGUUGGUGCAGAUCUCCCGUGAUUUGGAAUACUUGCGUUGCCCUCUACAGUAUCGCAGUGAGAUCGCGAGCCACCAUCUUUCUGGACAGACUCGCCACUGGUGGAACGGAGUUAUACGAGAGAUGCCUGCUAGACAUCAAGUCUCCAAGGAUGAAUUUGGAACAGAGUUUGAGCAAAAGUAUUACAGGAAUCUUCAGGAUGACCGACGUAUGGAAUUUAUACAUCUCCAGCAAGAUAAUAUGACGGUUCGGGAAUAUGAAGCGGAAUUCAGUCGCUUGCUGAUCUAUAGUGCUCAUUUGGUUCCUACUGAAGCAUUAAAGAUACAGAAGUUUAUUGUUGGUCUGCGACCAUAUCUUCGAAGGAAGAUCGAGAUACAUGAAUAUCCUACCUUGAAUCGCUACAUCAGCCAAUUGGAGAAGGUGGAAUAAAGUGAGAAGGAGAAGAAAGAAGAACUCAGGGUUCGAGAAAGGAGCCUUGUCCGCCAUUUUUCGACCACCAGGUCACUUGCUUGGACCGGUCAAAUCAAUCAGAGUCGGGACAAAGGGAAGACACCGAUUUUCCGAGCACUACCGCCACUGCCAUCAAGGAAACCAUAUGAUCGACGCCGUCGAUUCCAUUUCAGGAAGUGUGAGGUACCAUUUACUUGUUAUCGAUGCGGUAAGUCGGACCAUUUUGCAGUAAACUGUAGAGAGAUCAUUGUAGGGCGACCAGAUGAUGGGCCUAUCCAUCCACCACUAGCGAAUAAUUCGAGAAUUGCACCUCGAGUUUAUGCAUUUACAGAUGGGAUAGAGGUAUCAGGCGAGGAAUAUGUUGGUGACGAAUAUGAUGGGACAGAGGGACCAGCCGAGGAAUAUGUUGGUGACGAAUAUGGUAAUCACAUUUGAUCCUCGUAUGCGAUGCAUUUGGAUCAUAGACAUCCAUCCUUGUGUCUAUGGAGUGCCUAUAGAUGAGUUGCAUGGUCCCCAUGUGUAACUCCUCUGCAUUGAGAGAUUGUUAAAUUUUCAUAUGUUUUUAUGGUAAUUAAACUUUCGAAUCGGUGAUGUAUUUUGUAAACAAUGUAUUUUGUUGUUGUGAAUUUUAAGACUUAUGUAGUGUACGAUGUAAUAUAUCUUUUGUUGCAUAUGA